UACGGAAGGGGCAAGCGUUGUUCGGAAUCAUUGGGCGUAAAGGGCGCGUAGGUGGUUUUGUGUGUCUACCGUGAAAGCGCGCGGCUUAACCGCGUUCCGUCGGUAGAAACUGCAGAACUUGAGACUGGGAGGGGCUGGUGGAAUUCCCUGUGUAGCGGUGAAAUGCGUAGAGAUGGGGGAGAACACUCGUGGCGAAGGCGGCCAGCUAGACCAGUUCUGACACUGAGGCGCGACAGCGUGGGGAGCAAACAGG
This 253-nucleotide ribosomal RNA is filed under the name uncultured bacterium. RNAcentral describes it as "partial 16S ribosomal RNA". It matches the Rfam family "Bacterial small subunit ribosomal RNA", at positions 524 to 776 of the family's 1533-position model. The record is from RNAcentral.